GACGAACGCUGGCGGCGUGCCUAACACAUGCAAGUCAACUUGACUGAAGGAGCAAUCUGACAGUAGAGUGGCGCAAGGGUGCGUAACGCGUAAGUAACUUGCCCAAGGUAAGGAAUAACGUCGAGAAAUCGGCGCUAAUACCUCAUAAUGCAGCGGAUCCGCAUGGAUAUGUUGUUAAAGGUUUACCGCCUUGGGAUAGGCUUGCGUCUGAUUAGCUAGUCGGUGUGGUAACGGCACACCAAGGCUACGAUCAGUAACUGGUCUGAGAGGAUGAUCAGUCACACUGGAACUGAGACACGGUCCAGACUCCUACGGGAGGCAGCAGUGAGGAAUAUUGGGCAAUGCUCGAAAGAGUGACCCAGCAACGCCGCGUGGAGGAUGAAGGUAUUCUAUAUCGUAAACUCCUGUGAGAGCAGACGAAAGACAGAUUAUUAAUCUGGAUGACUGUAUGCUCAGAGGAAGCCCCGGCUAACUACG
This 477-nucleotide ribosomal RNA is filed under the name uncultured bacterium. RNAcentral describes it as "bacterial SSU rRNA". It matches the Rfam family "Bacterial small subunit ribosomal RNA", at positions 28 to 505 of the family's 1533-position model. The record is from RNAcentral.